RNAcentral lists this unclassified non-coding RNA (5964 nucleotides) under Anthonomus grandis grandis. RNAcentral describes it as "bUB3-interacting and GLEBS motif-containing protein ZNF207". Lineage: Eukaryota; Metazoa; Arthropoda; Insecta; Coleoptera; Curculionidae. The record is from RNAcentral.
GCCAGCGCGAUUGCAAAAUGUCCAAUUCUAAAGCUGCCAUUUUGUUUUAUUGAUAUUUGAUAAAUUAGUCUCGUUUUCUUUUUCUGAAUAUUUGUAUUUUUGUGUUAAAAUUUUGUGUUUUAUAUAAUCUUUAAUAAUCCCACUGUGAUCUGAACUAAUUAGUCUUUAAAUUACGUCCGUUAAGUAACCCGCAAAAUGGGCCGUAAGAAGAAGAAGCAAGCAAAACCUUGGUGCUGGUAUUGUAAUAGGGAAUUUGAUGACGAAAAAAUUCUUAUACAACAUCAAAAAGCAAAGCACUUUAAGUGCCACAUUUGUCACAAGAAGUUGUAUACAGGUCCUGGCUUAUCCAUACAUUGUAUGCAAGUUCAUAAGGAAACCAUUGACAAAGUUCCCAACUCAUUGCCGAACCGUUCCAAUGUUGAUAUAGAGAUUUAUGGAAUGGAGGGUAUCCCUCCAGCAGACCUAAAAGAGCAUGAAAGGCAAAAACAAAACAGCAGGGGAGCAGAUUCCUCAGAUGAGGAUGAGCCCGCCAAUAAAAAAAUGAAACCUGAAGGUUUAUUGGGCAAUGCUCCUCCUGGUAUGGCAGCUGCUAUGCCACAUGGCAUGAUGCAAGGUAUGAUGCAUCCGCCCCCAGGUAUGCCACCUGGAAUGCAAAUGAUGUCUAUGGGCCAUAUGGGCGGACCUCCAUUUAUGCAUCCUGGAAUGCAGCCUAUGUUACCCCCUCAUAUGAUGAUGCAGGGGCAGGGCCCUCCAAAACCUUUAUUUCCAAGUGCUGUACCGUCUUCAUCUCCUGGAGCUGCCGUUGUGGGUGCCGAUUUUAAACCAAUUAAUUCAGUGUCCGGAGCCACCAUAAGCGCACCACCCACAACUCACUCCGCGGGUCCUAGUGAUACGUCCAAAAUAAAUACCAUCGCGGCCACUGGUGCUUCUAGCAAGAUCAUACACCCUAUAGAGGAUAUUUCCUUAGAAGAAAUACGAUCUAGAAAUCCGAAAUAUUCGAGACUGAAAAAUGAUGAACGGGGGUCGAGUGCAAAUUCAGUAGCAUCAGAUAUGUCAGCAUCCGUCGUAGCCACACAACAAGCAGUAGCAGCGUCACAGGCCGCAGCUAUGCAUGCAAAAGCACAAGAGGCGCAACACCAGCAUAUGGCAAUGAUGGGACGGAUGGCAGCCGCUGCAAGUGCAGCAGCAGCAUUUCCUGUACGGGUUUCAGGCCCGCCAAUAGCUGUGAUGGCAGGUGGUCCAGUAAUGACCGGACCGACGAUGAGCGUUCUGCGGGGGCCCCUGAUAGGCGGGCCCCUUAUGAGACCACCUCACCAGUUUGGUAUGCCUCCAGGUAUGUACCAAUACUGAAGCGAGUUUAUGUGGUGAAUAAUGCGUUUUUUUAAGAUACCAAACUUUUUCGGGUUUUUCUCAAUUUCAAUUAGUCUCACUUGAUUUUACAGGGUGCCUUACUACAUUAUUUGUUUUUAAUCUGGAAUUUGUAAAUUUUGGAUUUUUUUUUCUUAAAAAAACUAGUUAAAGCAUUAAAAGCAAAAAAAAUCCAAGAAAAUGAUAUAAAUUCAUAUCAAAAGUAUAUAUCAUUUCAAUUACAUGCUUGUGAAACCUUGAGUUUCUUAAUGAAACUUUGGGAAUGAAUGACUUAUAAGAAUUACGAUACGUGUAAUACGUACUCGUUUCUAUAGUAAGUCGACUUGUUAGGUUUUGGUGUUGUACAGGGGAAAUGGUAUAAUUUUGUUUGGGCAAUUUAAAAAAGUGUCAAAAUUAAAGUAUUUACUUUGCGCUUAACUAGAUUUUUUGAUUGGAAUUAAUUAAAGAUAUCAUUAACAGUUAUUAAUUUUUAAGAUCCCAUAUUCUUGGCACCCUGUUAAAUUAAUUUUUUCAAGUGAGAUAUUUGUUAAUUGAAAUUGGAAAUUUUUUAAAUCCAAACUUAAGGACUUUAAGAAAUGAGAGUAACGUUAGUCGUAGAGUAAUCAAAUUACGCUAAUAGACUGUCCGAUUUUAUUUUGAUACUUUUUUUUAUAUAUUUUUUUACUAUUAUUAAUUUUAAGAAUUAUGACGCAAAAGCUUUUCAUGGCAUAACAGGAGAAUCAAAAUUAUUACUAAUAUAGAAAAAGUUGCAUUAAAACCAAGAAAUAGGUAUAAUUUUAGAAUUCUCUGUAUCUGUGCGAAGUUAUUAAAAUAUUUUAGGGCCUAAGCCUAGUUUGUAAGGCCUUAAAAUACUAAGAGGGAACAAUUUAUGUUUUAACAUUUUCUAGAAGAAAGUUUCAUUUAUAUAUGUACUAGACAGAUAGGUGUAGUACUGAUAAUAUUUAUUUUAUACAUAAAAUGUGUAUCUUUUGUUGCACUAUAAAGGAAUAAAAUUUGUUAUUUGCAGCAAAAAAUUAAGUUUUUCUUUGGUUUGUAUUUAGAUUUAUUUAUUAGGAAUUCAGUUUAUAAAAAUUUGCGUGAAUUUAGUUGGCGUGGGUGGCAAGACGUUAUGACUUUUCUGAAGAAAAUGCUGAAUAUUUAAUUUAUAUUGAGACAUUUGAAAAAUACUUACAAUUAUUCUCUUUCGAUUGCAGUAUGCAAAAAAUGUAUUUAUUAUUUUUGUUAAUGUAAUAUAACUGAGUGUGUUAUUCCUGGAUUAAUAAACUGGCUAAAACAACACAACUUUCUUCUGCCUAUUGUCCAGUCAAUAAAAAAUUUUGAAAGUGCACUAAUUCAAACUACUUAAAAGUCAAUUUUUGUAGUAUACUGAGAAAAAAAAAUGUUUGUUAUGUGCUAGGUAAGCAAUUUUAGCUGUCCUUAAUGUGGUCAAUGUGUUAUAUUCUGUAGAAUGGACACUGAAUUCUUUAGAAGAUUUCAAUGGCUGCAGAUCUUGUUGGAGCAUAUAAAAUCUUGACUAUGACCAAUACGUUUGUUCCUCUCAGGCUUCGCCACUUAUAUUUACCUAUGAUAUUAUGUGUGUUAUUAUAUCUAUAUAUAUUUAAUACAGGGAGUAGUGUCCAAACUUUAACAGCGCCUUCUAUCUUCAGAAUAAGCCUUAAUUUUCUUUAUAAACUUAUAUGGAAAAACACUUCGUUUUUGGAACAGAUAAUCGUAAAGUUUUUAAGAAGAAAAAUGUUUUUUUUAGUAGUAAUUUUUUUAUUACUUGAAUAACAAAGAGCAUUUUUUGGUCAAAAAAUUUGAUUAGAUUUGACCCCACCGAUAAACUCAACGUACGUGAUUUUUAAUUGAAUAUUCUUGAUUAAAAAUGGUCGCCACUGCUUUUUCUAGAAAUAAUUAUUUCUUAAAUCUUUGCUCAGUUUGGAGAUAAUUUGAUUCCUUACCUUUAUUUCGUAUGAUGCAAGAUUUUCGAGUGGAAAAAUAAAAUCUCAUGUAGGUUCUAUGUCAAUUUACAUCCAAGAGUUUUCUUGGAGAAGAAUUGCACUACCUAAAGUAAAAUAUGACUAGAGAUGUGUUACAUAUCCAUGAACCUGAGCCAGAAACUCAUAAUUCACUGUCAAAAACGUUUGAUUAAUUGAUGAAUUCCAUCCAUUGGAAGAGUGCACCAAAGCAAAAACUGUAAAAUAUUCCAAUGAUUAUUAGUAUCAUUUUACUGAACCCAUCUGAAUGAUGAAUAAUUGUUGAAUGUAUUGGAAUUUUCAGCUCUCUUCAAAAGCUUAAAUCAUUUGUAAGAAAAGGAAAUUAAAAGUUAAGUACUCUUAGGACCAAAAUGUCAAACAUCUUAUGUAAGACCAAAAGUUCCCAGAAGUCAAAAGGAGUUAAUAAAAAGCCAAUGAAGUGUCCUUGUCUCAUAGACAUGUCCUUAAGAAAGCUGUAAAGCGUAAAUAGAUUCUGAUAUACUGAUAUGAACCAAAAGUUCACAAAAGGAUCCUAAUAAAUUUCUGGCGCCUCACCUAGAGACCAAAGAAUGGCAAUAAGCCAUCUUGGUUUUACGCCUUGGAUUAGGUCUAAAGAAAUUGAACUCGUCUCAUCCUGGUCUGAAUUAAUUGAAGAGUUUUCUUACGGAAUAUUCAAACUUCUCGAAGAAAUUUUUAGCUGGAGCUGAUAUUCGUAACUACUGACAAGGCCGGAUAUUCACUUAAGAAUCUUGAUGGAUUUCUGGAGGCUUACCAAGAGUUAUCAGAAGCCAAAAGAACUUGAAAAUGUCAAUUAGUUCAAUGUCUGUAGAUUAGGUGUAAAGGUGUUAGCUUAUCUCAUUUUUCUCCUAAUGAAAUUAACAACUUUCUUGCAGAAUAUCCAAACUUCUCGAAGGAUAUUUUACCUGGAGCUGAUAUUCAUGGUCAUAGAAGUCUACCAAACUCGAGAGUUCACUCUCAAAAAACGGCUGCUUAUUGAACGAAUUAUGUGCAUUGGAAGUUCUAAUAGGAAUCAGAAAUUCAUAUAAGGGUAUUAAUGGAUUUCUAGAGCCUCACAGAGUUAUCACAGGCUGAAGAACUUGGAAAUGUCAAUGAGCCAUCUUAGUUUCACGUCUUCCACUAGGUGUAAAGAGCUUGACCUUUUUUCGCGCUGUUCAAGUUGCGAACACUGCAAUUCAGGACCUCCUUAUAGAUCCCUAUCCCCUUCGUACAUCCUUGCGAUGUUGCACUUAGUAAUUCAAUUGCCAAGUGUAGAUUUCGCGAUAAAUAACAUUUAAUUUGAGUUUUGUUAUGCAGUCAACAACAGAUUUCAAGAUACCAGAUCCGUUUCUGCGCUAACCAAAAAAGUUUAUUGGGUAGGUAAAUGGUCUUCCUAGUAAAUACUUGGAUUUACAGGGUGCCCCAUGAUGAACUGAUAGAGUCGAUUUCUUGAUUGGUAAACUUUGGACAUUUGUUGAUUAAUUUAUAAAAAUGCAUCUUUUAGAAAUUUUAAGUAAUGCUUUAUAAAACCGGCAACUUCUUUGUUAUUUUUAAUAGAUCAUUUCAUAGAUAUUUUAGAGGAAAUUGAAGUUAGGUUUCUGGAAAACCAAAAUCUUCUUUAGCACGAGUAGACUAUUAAUAUUUGACAAUAAAUUCAGUGCUUAGAAAUUCGCCUAAAAAGUUAUAUUGACAAAAACUUUGUUUCUGAUUGAAAAAAGGAGGGUUUUAUUUUAUUAGCAUAUUUAGAAUUUAAAAAAUAUACGAGUAUAUAAAUUUGUCUAUUCCAAAAUUUCAUAGUUUUCGAAAUAUUGGCUAUUUACUUAUUUAUUCGAAAAAUAAAGUAUUGUUUAUUGUUUUACAUAAAAUCUAAAAUUAUUCAAUAACGGUUAUACUUAAGCUUGUAAAGUUCCUGUGGGCCUAGAAUUUACAUAGAAUGUAACAAAAUAUAAUAAUGGGCUUCCAUUUAAAUAAAGACUUACAUAUUUUAUGGUUUUAUGUAGAACUAGCAAGAUCUACUCGAAUAUGUUUAAAAGAUUGAUUUUUAUCUUUAAUCGGCAUUGCUAAUUCUUUACAGAUUUCCAAUGCCUAUUUUUCAAGAAAUCGUUGGCUGCAGUUUAUCGUACGACUCCACCCAAUGAUAUCUACCCACUUCCUAUAUCCAUAACUUGUAAAGGCAGUUUAUUUGUAAUAUUUUGUCUUAUUUAAUGCAACUAAGCAAUUAUAUACAGCAUUUUUUUGAGAAAACGUCAUAUUAUAAAAAAAUAGAACUUAAAAAGAACCAAGACAUUGUUCUCAUUUAACUCGUGUAUAGUGUACAGUGUUGUCCCGUUGUCCAUGGGCUGAUCUUUUGGGACGACCGAGCAGGUAUGAUUCAGAUGCCGCACGGAAUGAUGUACGGGGCUCCCAUGUUCCCCACCGGCCCCAUGUACAUGCAGCCCCGUUUCAGAUGAUCCUCAGUUAUGAUCCUCUACCAUCCGCAAGUUUAAUUUUUAAAUUAAGUGCCACCCAUUUUUUUUUAAAUAGAUUUAAGGAUGAGAUGACGGCUUUAAGAAAAAAUGUUAAUUCACUUAUUUCGAAAUUUGUGUUCUUAUAUUUUCCUUUUUAUAUAUAAUAAAGAGAGAAAUAGUAAACACUAGUAACUUCA